AUUGAACGCUGGCGGCGUGCCUAACACAUGCAAGUCGAGCGGUAACAGGUGUAGCAAUACAUGCUGACGAGCGGCGGACGGGUGAGUAACGCUUGGGAAUCUGCCUAUCAGUGGGGGACA
Molecule: ribosomal RNA, 120 nt
Filed under: uncultured bacterium
Lineage: Bacteria
Description: partial 16S ribosomal RNA
Rfam family: Bacterial small subunit ribosomal RNA
Source: RNAcentral